GGAUAAGCCUGGGAAACUGGGUCUAAUACCAGAUAGGACCACGUCUUGGAUGGUGUGGUGGAAAGUUUUUUCGGUGUGGGAUGAGCUCGCGGCCUAUCAGCUUGUUGGUGGGGUAAUGGCCUACCAAGGCGUCGACGGGUAGCCGGCCUGAGAGGGUGUACGGCCACAUUGGGACUGAGAUACGGCCCAGACUCCUACGGGAGGCAGCAGUGGGGAAUAUUGCACAAUGGGCGCAAGCCUGAUGCAGCGACGCCGCGUGGGGGAUGACGGCCUUCGGGUUGUAAACUCCUUUCGCCAGGGACGAAGCGUAAGUGACGGUACCUGGAUAAGAAGCACCGGCUAACUACGUGCCAGCAGCCGCGGUAAUACGUAGGGUGCGAGCGUUGUCCGGAAUUACUGGGCGUAAAGAGCUCGUAGGUGGUUUGUCGCGUCGUUUGUGUAAUACCGCAGCUUAACUGCGGGGUUGCAGGCGAUACGGGCAUAACUUGAGUGCUGUAGGGGAGACUGGAAUUCCUGGUGUAGCGGUGGAAUGCGCAGAUAUCAGGAGGAACACCGAUGGCGAAGGCAG
This 568-nucleotide ribosomal RNA is filed under the name Corynebacterium sp. RNAcentral's name for it is "bacterial SSU rRNA". It matches the Rfam family "Bacterial small subunit ribosomal RNA", at positions 141 to 724 of the family's 1533-position model. Lineage: Bacteria; Bacillati; Actinomycetota; Actinomycetes; Mycobacteriales; Corynebacteriaceae. The record is from RNAcentral.